UACGCUGUUUGAUCACAUGACAUGUUAGCCGGCAGUGUCUCCUAAAAAGAGAGCUGUUUAGAGGUGAGUGAUUAAGUUUUUCUCCUAAAUAGAGAUCAUUACAGAACGCCUAGUCCUACUUAAAAUACCAUUCAUUUUUCUUUUAUCAUCUGCUCGAACUGAGGAAAACGUUUGACUAACUCAAAGAAAAGUUCCGCGCCUCCCCUGCCUGUCUGCAGAGGCAGUUUUGAAUUCAGGAGCGGCAUGAUGGCAGCGGCAAACCCUGGCGGUUCUCCGGGUUCGUGGCAACCACGGAUGGGAAAAUGUGGAGGUUGCACGGCUGAUGUUUACUGUUCGUGGCACAGGAAGAGGCAGUUUCAUUUCAGGAAUGAGUGUGCACAAUCAAAGAAUAGAGCGACUGUGGAGAGACCUCUGGGUGGCCGUUACAUGCAUUUACUACGAUGUUCUUCACAACCCUGAGGAAGAAGGCCUUCUUGACAUUUCAAAUGCUGCACACCUCUUUUGCUGCCAUUACAUCUUUCUUCCUCGACUAGAGGAUAAUUUUAAUACAUUUUGCAGUGGAUGGGACAACCAUCCACUGCGAACAGAAAACACCAUGAGUCCCCCAACCAGCUGUGGGAGUUGGGUCACAGAUAUUACCCUGUUCCUGUUCCAGAAAACACACAGCUUAUCACACAUUUGAUUUCCAUGUGUGACGACUGCAAGUGUCCAGAGUGAGGACAGACUGAGGGACCCACUGCUGCACAUCAUCUGUGAGGCUUUGCACCCCUGAUGAUCCACC
Pelmatolapia mariae (spotted tilapia) is the source of this 781-nucleotide long non-coding RNA. RefSeq lists it as uncharacterized. The transcript is spliced from 4 exons. The record is from RefSeq and is a predicted model, not a curated record. Lineage: Eukaryota; Metazoa; Chordata; Actinopteri; Cichliformes; Cichlidae.